This 201-nucleotide ribosomal RNA is filed under the name Arthrospira sp. Its description in RNAcentral is "partial 16S ribosomal RNA". It matches the Rfam family "Bacterial small subunit ribosomal RNA", at positions 304 to 520 of the family's 1533-position model. The record is from RNAcentral. Lineage: Bacteria; Bacillati; Cyanobacteriota; Cyanophyceae; Oscillatoriales; Microcoleaceae.
UCAGCCACUCUGCGACUGAGACACGGCGCAGACUCCUACGCGAGGCAGCAGUGCGGAAUUAUCCGCAAUGGGCGCAAGCCUGAGGGAGCAAGACCGCGAGGGGGAGGAAGGCUCUUGGGUUGUAAACCCCUUUUCUCAAGGAAGAACACAAUGACGGUACUGAGGAAUAAGCCUCGGCUAACUCCGUGCCAGCAGCCGCGG